CCAAGAGACCGUGAAACCGUUGGGAGGGAAGCCCAGGGCGUCGAGGCGGUAUCGGCUCCGAGUCGGGUUCAGUCGGCUAUUCCGCGAGGACGGUCGGUGCAGUUCCGGCCGGAGUGCGACCGUCAGCAGGGUCCGAGGGCCGAGGUGUAGCGCUCGUCGGGGCAGGUGGCUAGUCCGCGUCUCUCCGGAGCGCGGACAGCACUUAGAGUCCGUCGAUGCUGGCGCCUUGCGAACGGAUCUGUAGCGAUGGGCGUCGAGUCGCCCAAGAUGGUGCAGGCGCAGUUCUCGCUCGGGCGAGGAUCGGGUUCCGUCCGCACCGCGGCCGGAGUCCCCGGAGCUGGGUCGAGUUGGCGCUCCGGCGUUCUCUCGACGGCUCCGGAGUCGAUCGGUGGCGGUCGGGCGAGAGCCAGGUGCUGCGCGUA
Molecule: small RNA, 422 nt
Filed under: Amphimedon sp. QM G333331
Lineage: Eukaryota; Metazoa; Porifera; Demospongiae; Haplosclerida; Niphatidae
Description: partial large subunit ribosomal RNA
Source: RNAcentral